GGGCAAGUGGCGGAACUGGCAUACGCAUACGGCUUAGGACCGUAUUCCUAAAGGAUUGUGGGUUCAACUCCCACCUUGCCCA
Molecule: transfer RNA, 82 nt
Filed under: Elusimicrobia bacterium CG_4_10_14_0_8_um_filter_37_32
Lineage: Bacteria; Pseudomonadati; Elusimicrobiota
Description: tRNA-Leu
Rfam family: tRNA
About the family: Transfer RNA (tRNA) molecules are approximately 80 nucleotides in length.
Source: RNAcentral